ACUGUGGAGUGUACAAGAACUUGUGAGUAGUAUCUGUAUUUAUUCAGGGCGAAAGCAUAUACAGAGAAGCAGUAA
This 75-nucleotide non-coding RNA is filed under the name unclassified sequences. The record is from Rfam.